RNAcentral lists this ribosomal RNA (500 nucleotides) under uncultured bacterium. RNAcentral's name for it is "partial 16S ribosomal RNA". It matches the Rfam family "Bacterial small subunit ribosomal RNA", at positions 29 to 523 of the family's 1533-position model. The record is from RNAcentral.
AUUGAACGCUGGCGGAAUGCUUUACACAUGCAAGUCGAACGGCAGCACGGGGGCAACCCUGGUGGCGAGUGGCGAACGGGUGAGUAAUACAUCGGAACGUGCCCAGUCGUGGGGGAUAACGUAGCGAAAGUUACGCUAAUACCGCAUACGAUCUACGGAUGAAGGCGGGGGACCGUAAGGCCUCGCGCGAUUGGAGCGGCCGAUGUCAGAUUAGGUAGUUGGUGAGGUAAAGGCUCACCAAGCCGACGAUCUGUAGCUGGUCUGAGAGGACGACCAGCCACAUUGGGACUGAGACACGGCCCAGACUCCGACGGGAGGCAGCAGUGGGGAAUUAUGGACGAUGGACGCAAGUCUGAUCCAGCCAUUCCGCGUGCAGGAUGAAGGCCCUCGGGUUGUAAGCUGCUUUUGUACGGAACGAAAAGGUCCCUCUUAAUACGGGGGACUCAUGACGGUACCGUAAGAAUAAGCACCGGCUAACUACGUGCCAGCCGCCGCGGUAA